GAUGAACGCUAGCGGCAGGCUUAAUACAUGCAAGUCAAGGGGGUAGCAAUACAACCGGCGCACGGGUGAGUAACGCGUACACAACAUACCAUAUACUGGAGUAUAGCUUUGGGAAACUGAAGGUAAUCCUCCAUAACAUUGCGAGAGGGCAUCUGAUUGCAAUUAAAGUUCCGGCGGUAGAUGAUUGGUGUGCGUUUGAUUAGCUAGUUGGUAGGGUAACGGCCUACCAAGGCGACGAUCAAUAGCUGGCGUGAGAGCGCGACCAGCCACACUGGAACUGAGACACGGUCCAGACUCCUACGGGAGGCAGCAGUAGGGAAUAUUGGACAAUGGGCGGAAAGACCUGAUCCAGCCACUGCCGCGUGAUAGAUGAAGGCCC
Molecule: ribosomal RNA, 379 nt
Filed under: uncultured bacterium
Lineage: Bacteria
Description: bacterial SSU rRNA
Rfam family: Bacterial small subunit ribosomal RNA
Source: RNAcentral